This 1044-nucleotide long non-coding RNA is filed under the name Prunus dulcis (almond). RNAcentral describes it as "sRNA ncRNA". Lineage: Eukaryota; Viridiplantae; Streptophyta; Magnoliopsida; Rosales; Rosaceae. The record is from RNAcentral.
UUCAGGUGACAUUUCUACAAAAAUCCCUUACUUUAAUAUAUAAUUAAAAUUCCCAAUAGUAAGUGUUGGCAAAUGCCAAUUAAGCUGCUGACUUAUCUGGUUCCAGAUUUGUAAUUGUAAGUGUUUUUGGGGAUAUUGGUAAAGCCAACAAACAUAGAAAAAGGUAAUUGAAGAUUUGAGUCCCAAAUUUCAGUUAUGAUAAAACGGUUAUGCAAGAAAUUAACUGCUAAAGAUAAAUUUUGAUCAUUCCAGAUAACUACAAUUCCACCUGAGAAAUGUCAAAAUGAUAUAACCCAGUUAAACUUUUAAAAUAGUUAUUCAGUUACCCCGAAAUAUCAGGGAAAAAAAAUUUAAAAAGGAGCCCACAAUAAAAAAAAUUAUAAUAAGAAAAAAGAAAAGAGGGAAGGAGGGAGGUGAAAAAAAAAAACAAAAAAAAAAAACAGAGCAGGCAGGAUGUGAUCACCAAGUUAAAAGUUAAAAUUAUGUUGACUAAUGAAGAAAUAACAGAGAUACAGAUCAGACAAAAUUAAUAAUAAAAUUAAAGUUUGAAGCGAUUGUAUUAUUAAUUAUUAUGCAUAUAUAUGAGCUAUACAGGCAAUUGGCUAGCUUGGAAUGGAAGCUGGGCUGUAGCUGUAGGGUUGGCAAGGUGCUUCCGGGGGCUGCGAAAGCUUCCAUGAUUCAUCCAUGUCUUCCUAUCCCAUGCCUGCAUGCCCUGCAACCCUCUGACCUUAUCUUCUUGUAAAAUUCUUACUGCUCUUUCUUCCAUGGCUGCGGAAGCAGAAGCUGAAUUGAUCCAAACUGAGGAGGAGGAGGCAAAAAUAACCAGCAACAACAUCAAAACAAUACGAUUAAGGGCCCUGAACUGCACCAUAUUCUGCUUGUGAUAUGUGUGCUUUUAGUUUUUUGUGUGUUUGGUGUUUGCAGGGAAGGAUGGAUGGAGUGUGUGUGUGUGUUAUAUAAUGAAGAGGUGGAAAAAGGAAGGGUAACUUUGCUUUGGUUUGAAGUCAAGAAGAAAAUGAUGAAGCUUCUCACACUCAACAAACU